Molecule: small RNA, 5235 nt
Filed under: Pan troglodytes (chimpanzee)
Lineage: Eukaryota; Metazoa; Chordata; Mammalia; Primates; Hominidae
Description: processed transcript
Rfam family: Z6 small nucleolar RNA (bases 3574-3664)
Source: RNAcentral
GGGUGUCAGAGUGCCCCUCAGUGCUGCGGGGCCUGCCCACCCGUGCUCCUUCCCCAGGGGCCUGGAUCAUCACAGGGGGGUCCCACGCCGGCGUCAUGAAGCAGGUAGGCGAGGCAGUGCGGGACUUCAGCCUGAGCAGCAGCUACAAGGAAGGCGAGCUCAUCACCAUCGGAGUCGCCACCUGGGGCACUGUCCACCGCCGCGAGGGCCUGAUCCAUCCCACGGGCAGCUUCCCCGCCGAGUACAUACUGGAUGAGGAUGGCCAAGGGAACCUGACCUGCCUAGACAGCAACCAUUCUCACUUCAUCCUCGUGGACGACGGGACCCACGGCCAGUACGGGGUGGAGAUUCCUCUGAGGACCAGGCUGGAGAAGUUCAUAUCGGAGCAGACCAAGGAAAGAGGAGGUGUGGCCAUCAAGAUCCCCAUCGUGUGCGUGGUGCUGGAGGGCGGCCCGGGCACGUUGCACACCAUCUACAACGCCACCACCAACGGCACCCCCUGCGUGGUCGUGGAGGGCUCGGGCCGCGUGGCCGACGUCAUUGCCCAGGUGGCCAACCUGCCUGUCUCGGACAUCACUAUCUCCCUGAUCCAGCAGAAACUGAGCGUGUUCUUCCAGGAGAUGUUUGAGACCUUCACGGAAAGCAGGAUUGUCGAGUGGACCAAAAAGAUCCAAGAUAUCGUCCGGAGGCGGCAGCUGCUGACUGUCUUCCGGGAAGGCAAGGAUGGUCAGCAGGACGUGGAUGUUGCCAUCUUGCAGGCCUUGCUGAAAGCCUCACGGAGCCAAGACCACUUUGGCCACGAGAACUGGGACCACCAGCUGAAACUGGCAGUGGCAUGGAAUCGCGUGGACAUUGCCCGCAGUGAGAUCUUCACGGAUGAGUGGCAGUGGAAGCCUUCAGAUCUGCACCCCACGAUGACAGCUGCACUCAUCUCCAACAAGCCUGAGUUUGUGAAGCUCUUCCUGGAGAACGGGGUGCAGCUGAAGGAGUUCGUCACCUGGGACACCUUGCUCUACCUGUACGAGAACCUGGACCCCUCCUGCCUGUUCCACAGCAAGCUGCAGAAGGUGCUGGCGGAGGAGCCCGAGUGCCCGGCUUGCGCGCCCGCGGCGCCCCGCCUGCAGAUGCACCACGUGGCCCAGGUGCUGCGGGAGCUGCUGGGGGACUUCACACAGCCGCUUUAUCCCCGGCCCCCGCACAACGGCCGGCCGCGGCUCCUGCUGCCCGUUCCCCACGUCAAGCUCAACGUGCAGGGAGUGAGCCUCUGGUCCCUCUACAAGCGUUCCUCAGGCCAUGUGACCUUCACCAUGGACCCCAUCCGUGACCUUCUCAUUUGGGCCAUUGUCCAGAACCGUCGGGAGCUGGCAGGAAUCAUCUGGGCACAGAGCCAGGACUGCAUCGCAGCGGCCUUGGCCUGCAGCAAGAUCCUGAAGGAACUGUCCAAGGAGGAGGAGGACACGGACAGCUCGGAGGAGAUGCUGGCGCUGGCGGAGGAGUAUGAGCACAGAGCCAUCGGGGUCUUCACCGAGUGCUACCGGAAGGACGAAGAGAGAGCCCAGAAACUGCUCACCCGCGUGUCCGAGGCCUGGGGGAAGACCACCUGCCUGCAGCUCGCCCUGGAGGCCAAGGACAUGAAGUUUGUGUCUCACGGGGGCAUCCAGGCCUUCCUGACCAAGGUGUGGUGGGGCCAGCUCUCCGUGGACAAUGGGCUGUGGCGUGUGACCCUGUGCAUGCUGGCCUUCCCGCUGCUCCUCACCGGCCUCAUCUCCUUCAGGGAGAAGAGGCUGCAGGAGGUGGGCACCCCCGCGGCCCGUGCCCGUGCCUUCUUCACCGCACCCGUGGUGGUCUUCCACCUGAACAUCCUCUCCUACUUCGCCUUCCUCUGCCUGUUCGCCUACGUGCUCAUGGUGGACUUCCAGCCUGUGCCCUCCUGGUGCGAGUGUGCCAUCUACCUCUGGCUCUUCUCCUUGGUGUGCGAGGAGAUGCGGCAGCUCUUCUAUGACCCUGACGAGUGUGGGCUGAUGAAGAAGGCAGCCUUGUACUUCAGUGACUUCUGGAAUAAGCUGGACGUCGGUGCAAUCUUGCUCUUCGUGGCAGGGCUGACCUGCAGGCUCAUCCCGGUGACGCUGUACCCCGGGCGUGUCAUCCUUUCUUUGGACUUCAUCCUGUUCUGCCUCCGGCUCAUGCACAUUUUUACCAUCAGUAAGACGCUGGGGCCCAAGAUCAUCAUUGUGAAGCGGAUGAUGAAGGACGUCUUCUUUUUCCUCUUCCUGCUGGCUGUGUGGGUGGUGUCCUUCGGGGUGGCCAAGCAGGCCAUCCUCAUCCACAACGAGCGCCGGGUGGACUGGCUGUUCCGAGGGGCCGUCUACCACUCCUACCUCACCAUCUUCGGGCAGAUCCCGGGCUACAUCGACGGUGUGAACUUCAACCCGGAGCACUGCAGCCCCAACGGCACCGACCCCUACAAGCCCAAGUGCCCCGAGAGCGACGCGACGCAGCAGAGGCCGGCCUUCCCCGAGUGGCUGACGGUCCUCCUACUCUGCCUCUACCUGCUCUUCACCAACAUCCUGCUGCUCAACCUCCUCAUCGCCAUGUUCAACUACACCUUCCAGCAGGUGCAGGAGCACACGGACCAGAUCUGGAAGUUCCAGCGCCACGACCUGAUCGAGGAGUACCACGGCCGCCCCGCCGCGCCACCCCCCUUCAUCCUCCUCAGCCACCUGCAGCUCUUCAUCAAGAGGGUGGUCCUGAAGACUCCGGCCAAGAGGCACAAGCAGCUCAAGAACAAGCUGGAGAAGAACGAGGAGGCGGCCCUGCUAUCCUGGGAGAUCUACCUGAAGGAGAACUACCUCCAGAACCGGCAGUUCCAGCAAAAGCAGCGGCCCGAGCAGAAGAUCGAGGACAUCAGCAAUAAGGUUGACGCCAUGGUGGACCUGCUGGACCUGGACCCACUGAAGAGGAUGGGCUCCAUGGAGCAGAGGUUGGCCUCCCUGGAGGAGCAGGUGGCCCAGACAGCCCGAGCCCUGCACUGGAUCGUGAGGACGCUGCGGGCCAGCGGCUUCAGCUCAGAGGCGGACGUCCCCACUCUGGCCUCCCAGAAGGCCGUGGAGGAGCCGGAUGCUGAGCCGGGAGGCAGGAAGAAGACGGAGGAGCCGGGUGACAGCUACCACGUGAAUGCCCGGCACCUCCUCUACCCCAACUGCCCUGUCACACGCUUCCCCGUGCCCAACGAGAAGGUGCCCUGGGAGACGGAGUUCCUGAUCUAUGACCCACCCUUUUACACGGCAGAGAGGAAGGACGCGGCCGCCAUGGACCCCGUGGGAGACACCCUGGAGCCGCUGUUCACGAUCCAGUACAACGUGGUGGAUGGCCUGAGGGACCGCCGGAGCUUCCACGGGCCGUACACAGUGCAGGCCGGGUUGCCCCUGAACCCCAUGGGCCGCACAGGACUGCGUGGGCGUGGGAGCCUCAGCUGCUUCGGACCCAACCACACGCUGUACCCCAUGGUCACGCGGUGGAGGCGGAACGAGGACGGAGCCAUCUGCAGGAAGAGCAUAAAGAAGAUGCUGGAAGUGCUGGUGGUGAAGCUCCCUCUCUCCGAGCACUGGGCCCUGCCUGGGGGCUCCCGGGAGCCAGGGGAGACGCUACCUCGGAAGCUGAAGCGGAUCCUCCGGCAGGAGCACUGGCCGUCUUUUGAGAACUUGCUGAAGUGCGGCAUGGAGGUGUACAAAGGCUACAUGGAUGACCCGAGGAACACGGACAAUGCCUGGAUCGAGACGGUGGCCGUCAGCGUCCACUUCCAGGACCAGAACGACGUGGAGCUGAACAGGCUGAACUCUAACCUGCACGCCUGCGACUCGGGGGCCUCCAUCCGAUGGCAGGUGGUGGACAGGCGCAUCCCACUCCAUGCGAACCACAAGACCCUCCUCCAGAAGGCAGCCGCUGAGUUCGGGGCUCACUACUGACUGUGCCCUCAGGCUGGGCGGCUCCAGUCCAUAGACGUUCCCCGCAGAAACCAGGGCUUCUCUCUCCUGAGCCUGGCCAGGACUCAGGCUGUUCCUGGGCCCUGCGCAUGAUGGGGUUUGGUGGACCCACUGUCCCUCACGGCUGCCGCAAGUCUGCUGCAGAUGACCUCAUGAACUGGAAGGGGUCAAGGUGACCCGGGAGGAGAGCUCAAGACAGGGCACAGGCUACUCAGAGUUGAGGGGCCCCUGGGACCCUUGGCCAUCAGGCGAGGGGCUGGGCCUGUGCAGCUGGGCCCUUGGCCAGAGUCCACUCCCUUCCUGGCUGUGUCACCCCGAGCAGCUCAUCCACCGUGGAGGUCAUCGGCCUGAGGCAAGUUCCCCAGAGAGUCGGGGUCCCCUGUGGCCCCCUCAGGCCUAUGUCUGUGAGGAAGGGGCCCUGCCAUUCUCCCCAAGAGGGCCUCCAUGUUUCGAGGUGCCUCAACAUGGAGCCUUGCCUGGCCUGGGCUAGGGGCACUGUCUGAACUCCUGACUGUCAGGAUAAACUCCGUGGGGGUACAGGAGCCCAGACAAAGCCCAGGCCUGUCAAGAGACUCAGAGGGCCCCUGCCAGGGUUGGCCCCAGGGACCCUGGGACGAGGCUGCAGAAGCUCUCCCUCCCUACUCCCUGGGAGCCACGUGCUGGCCACGCCCAGGAAGGAGGGACGGCAUGGGCAAGAGGCGGGGACGUGGGGGCCUUCUGGUUUGGUGUCAACAGCUCACAGGAGCGUGAACCAUGAGGGCCCUCAGGAGGGGAAUGUGGUAAAACCCAAGACAUUAAAUCUGCCAUCUCAGGCCUGGCUGGCUCUUCUGUGCUUUCCACAAAUAAAGUUCCUGACACGUCCAGGGCCAGGGGCUCUGUGACGGCUGCCUGAAGUUCUCCUCGAUCCCCGGGUGAGCUUCCUGCAGCCUGUGGAUGUCCUGCAGCCCCUCAGCCCUACCCCCCAAGUUUCUCCUCUGACCCAUCAGCUCCCUGUCUUCAUUUUCCUAAACCUGGGCUCCAGCAUCAUCCCCAAGCCCACCAGGCCCGGAUGCAGGCAUCCACAUGCCCUCCUCCUUGGCUUCCCCUGCGUGGUGGUGCCAAUGUGCCCUGGCACCCCUGCAGAGGCUCCGGAUGGAGCCUGGGGCUGCCUGGCCACUGAGCACUGGCCGAGGUGAUGCCCACCCUUCCCUGGACAGGCCUCUGUCUUCCACCUGACCCAAAGCUCUCUGGCCACCCCCUUGUCCCCAGGUAU